This 395-nucleotide ribosomal RNA is filed under the name uncultured bacterium. Its description in RNAcentral is "partial 16S ribosomal RNA". It matches the Rfam family "Bacterial small subunit ribosomal RNA", at positions 523 to 918 of the family's 1533-position model. The record is from RNAcentral.
AUACGUAGGGUGCAAGCGUUAAUCGGAAUUACUGGGCGUAAAGCGUGCGCAGGCGGUUUUGUAAGACAGUGGUGAAAUCCCCGGGCUCAACCUGGGAACUGCCAUUGUGACUGCAAGGCUGGAGUGCGGCCGAGGGGGAUGGAAUUCCGCGUGUAGCAGUGAAAGGCGUAGAUAUGCGGAGGAACACCGAUGGCGAAGGCAAUCCCCUGGGCCUGCACUGACGCUCAUGCACGAAAGCGUGGGGAGCAAACAGGAUUAGAUACCCUGGUAGUCCACGCCCUAAACGAUGUCAACUGGUUGUUGGGGAUUUAUUUUCUCAGUAACGAAGCUAACGCGUGAAGUUGACCGCCUGGGGAGUACGGCCGCAAGGUUAAAACUCAAAUGAAUUGACGGGG